AAAUUUAAUAAUAUUAUUAAUAUUAAAAAGUUGAAUUAUGAUCUGAAUUUUAUAAAUAAAUUGUAAAUUUGAUUUUUGAAAUUAAAAGUUGAACUCUAUGAGUAGGUGUAAUUUUUACAAGAAAAAUUAUAGGGAAACCUAAAACUAUGAAGAUUACAGUUUGGGCUUUUACCUGGGUUGGGCUCUUGCAAAUCUUCUUUCUGAGAAACUUAAAAAAUGCUCAUUCAAUCAAUGGCCUUUCAAAAAAUUCUAUGAAAAGAGUGUUCAAAGUAAAAAAAAAUUGUGUAAAGUCUAGUGGGACUUUUUAAUUAAAAGUUACAGUGUCACUUUCCCAUCCUGGAAACUUAAUUCACACUUAACACAAUACAAAUUAAAUUAACAUUUAAAAGAAAUUCUUAUAAAUAAAUUGAAAGCUUAGCCAAUGAUUAUUGCCUAUUAUAAAUUGAUUGUGUGCAACUUUGAAUUAAAAUUGGGGCACAAUAUGCUAUGUCACUUUUUAAUGAAAACGUAACUUUAUUUUUCUUAUAAAAUCAUCGACAAGAAGAACUUUAUUUCAGUAUGUUAUAUCCUAUUAAAUUAUACUUAAAUGAACUAAUAAUAAAUACAUACUUCAAAAAGAUUAAAUGAUCUUUAUUUCAAUGGCAAUAAAUAUAGAAACAAUUCAAUUAAGUGAUAAAAAUUCAAAAAAGUGACAAACACCAAUCAAAAUAUCAAAUAAAUCUAGGGGUGGUUAAUUUUUUUCUACAUGUUGUCACUUUGUGAUUAUGUAUCAAUUCUAUUAAUUAAACAUAGAAGUUGGAAGUGAUGGCAAUAAAAAAAUAAAAAUUAUAAUCACUUAAAAAGUGACAAACAUUUUCGAGCCCCUUUUGUGGAUGGAACCACCAAUAUUAUCUUGCCAACUCUACAAAUUCUCUUCUCAAACUUCAUGUGUGUGCAGAGCACUUCAGUUGUUCUUAUAUCUGCACAAAUGAUUAUAAGCAUUGCCAAGAAUGAAAGCAGUGUAAAUUUAACAGCUCAAUGUUCGCUAAAAGUGCAUACCACAAGUGUACUGGUCGCGUUCAAAUAAUAAAGCGGACUUUUUGAGUUCGGAUUGUCGAUCUCUUGAGAAAUGUAUACUUUAGAUUACACUACUUUAAUUAAUUCAAUUCCAACAAUAAAAAUAAGCACACAAGAAAAUUAUGAUUUUGGAAAAAUAACUAAAAAUUUACAAAAUAAGAAAAUAUAAAAGUCUUGGGAAUUUUUGGAAGCAAACGUGGUUGGGAUUCAUAGUUUUCGCUUAACCGUCGCCUAAUUAAUUUCUCAACAUGUCAACUAACAAAUUACUCAUUUACAAUGUUAGAUUCGAUUUGUCAAUUUUAGUUAAUUACCUCUCUCGAGCGAAAUUAAUCCUAAUUGAUUGGUUUAAUCUACUAUAUCUCUACGUCGAUUAAAACCAAACAAUUGCAUUAAAUAUUUAUGAAAAUAACACAAAGGAUCACCUAAGGUUAGGGGUAUAUCUCAAUCCUUUACAUAAACCUAAGAUUUCUACUAUUUGAUCUAAAAUGCACAAUCUUCUCUCGAACGAUAGACAAAUCACUCAAUAUAAUCAUUCAUUUGGCCACUAAAUGAAAAUACAAUAAUUACAAUAGUAGAAACACAUGAAAAUAAGCAAAUUAAUAUCAAAUGGCAAAUAUUAAAAUUAAUCAAGGCUAAACUACAACCAUAAAUCCCAACACAAAUAACUUAACCCAUUUUAUAUAGAUGAUAAAAGGGAGAAUGUUUUAGACAAUACAUUGCAAGUUUGACAAAAUAAUUGAUAAAAUACGAGGUAGAGAUAAAACCUCUUUUCAAGCUUGCUCUUGAUUUCCCCAAAACUUUGUCAAAUCCUUAGUUGAAUCUCCUUGUGCUCUAAAUUAUGCCCCAAAAAAUACUAAGGAAAAGAAAAGAAAGAAAAAGAGAAAGAAAAGAGGAAGAAGCAGGUGACGGCUG
Molecule: long non-coding RNA, 1968 nt
Filed under: Olea europaea subsp. europaea
Lineage: Eukaryota; Viridiplantae; Streptophyta; Magnoliopsida; Lamiales; Oleaceae
Source: RNAcentral